UCAACGACUUGUCUCGAUGAAAGGAGAAAACUCAGGAGUGCAGCGCAACCCAAACUUUGCAAAGCUCCAGGCAGGCUACCUGUUUCCAGAAAUCGGCCGUCGUCGAAACGCU
Molecule: non-coding RNA, 112 nt
Filed under: uncultured eukaryote
Lineage: Eukaryota
Source: RNAcentral